Molecule: ribosomal RNA, 253 nt
Filed under: uncultured bacterium
Lineage: Bacteria
Description: partial 16S ribosomal RNA
Rfam family: Archaeal small subunit ribosomal RNA
Source: RNAcentral
UACCAGCACCCCGAGUGGUCGGGACGAUUAUUGGGCCUAAAGCAUCCGUAGCCGGCCUUACAAGUCCUCCGUUAAAUCCAGCUGCUUAACAGAUGGGCUGCGGAGGAUACUAUGAGACUAGGAGGCAGGAGAGGCAAGCGGUACUCAGUGGGUAGGGGUAAAAUCCGUUGAUCCAUUGAAGACCACCAGUGGCGAAGGCGGCUUGCCAGAAUGCGCUCGACGGUGAGGGAUGAAAGCUGGGGGAGCAAACCGG